AGUCUAGACCACUGAUGGGCUGAAUUCCUAUGAGUGGGGAUGAGACCCUCAAUCUCCCUGUGCCACUCGGGGGCUCUUCGCCUUGUGCCUUGCCUUGAGAAUGCGAGCUUCUCCAGAGAAGCUGUGGCUUCCCGUGUCUCAGCACCCAGUGCGCUUCCCAGCGCCCAGCACGCUGAUUUGAAACUCUCUCAAUAAGUGUGCCAAUGAAGUUUUGUUGAUAAAUAAUUAAGAAAUAAAUGAGAAUAGUCUCUCUGGUGCACGAGCCUUCCUAUUCGCUCUCAGUGAAUUCUUGGUUUGAAAAUGCAGUGGUGUGGUAGACCAGAAACAAGGUCAGAACUCCAGUACAGAAUAGACAGGUGAGUACUUUAAAGUGCAAAAAAAUUACAGUGGAAUAAUUAUGAUAUUAUUUAACCUGCAUGAAUCAGUUUCUUCCCCUCCUCCUUUCGCUCCUCCUUUUCUUCCUUUCUUCUUCUUUCAUCUUAUUACAGUUUUACAGCUUCUUCCUCUAAACAGAUUGUAUUCAAUCUUUCAGGAACUCAGAUUUAUUCAAAAAAUAGUUAGUGGGGCUCUGUGCAGCGGCUCAUGCCUGUAAUCUCAGUACUUUGGGAGGCCAAGGCAAGGAGGAUCGCUUGAGCCCGGGAGUUUGAGACCAGCCCUGGUAAGGUAGCAAGACCCCGCCUCUACCAAAAGUACAAAAAUUAGCCAGACAUGGUAUUGCAUUCCUGCGGUCCCAGCUACUCCGGAGGCUGAGGUGGAAGGAUCACUUGAGCUCAGGAGGUCAAGGCUGUAAUGAACCAAGAUCGUACCACUGCUCUUCUGCCUGG
This 824-nucleotide long non-coding RNA is filed under the name Homo sapiens (human). RNAcentral describes it as "PREDICTED lncRNA (TCONS_00250613)". Lineage: Eukaryota; Metazoa; Chordata; Mammalia; Primates; Hominidae. The record is from RNAcentral.